This 223-nucleotide ribosomal RNA is filed under the name uncultured eukaryote. Its description in RNAcentral is "partial small subunit ribosomal RNA". The record is from RNAcentral.
CUUGUUCACAAAAGAGGCAAGUACAUGCAGGAGGCCGUCCCUGUAGGAGUUGGUGCAAUGGCCGCUGUUUUGGGAGUCCCGUACGAGAAAGUAGAGGAAGCUGUUCAAAGUAUCAAGAGUGGAGUUGUAGAGAUAGCCAAUUGGAACAGCAAGGAACAGAUUGUUAUUGCCGGUGACGCGUUGGCUGUCAAAGAAGUCUUGGCUCUUCUUAAUCCUCCUCGGU